This is a long non-coding RNA of Strongylocentrotus purpuratus (purple sea urchin), 538 nucleotides long. RefSeq lists it as uncharacterized. The transcript is spliced from 3 exons. The record is from RefSeq and is a predicted model, not a curated record. NCBI's taxonomy places the organism in Eukaryota, Metazoa, Echinodermata, Echinoidea, Camarodonta, Strongylocentrotidae.
UUGCCUGAUCUGAAGACGAGACUUUCGCUGCAUGCAUAUUUAAUGUAUGACGUCACCCACACAGAGUGAGAGCUCGAGGUUUUCUUUGAAAGUUUGAUGGAAAAUGUACAGAGACACUUGUCGCAGUUAAUGCAUGCAGUACCAAAUGCUUGCUUUCUUGGAGUAUGUGCUUGAAACAAGAAUGUCCUGGAGAAAACAGACCACCACAAGAGAAGACAUACAUGUACAGUAUGGACUAUGAAGUUCUACUUAGCCUCUUCAAUGAACUGCUGUAGCUGUGACUGGGUAUCAAAACCUUGGUAUUAUAAACUUCAUAACCAGUGGCGGAGAUAUGUUGUUAGCUAGGGGGAGGGGUCAGUGCCCCCCCCCCCACUUUUUCAAGUACCCCCAGUAUGCCCCUUUUAUGGCCUUUUCACAUAGGUAAAGUGCCAUAUUACUUUGACAAGUUCCCCUAUUAAUUUGUAAAAUUGCCCCUUCCCCAUUUCACCUCUGAUAAGUGCCCCUUAUCCUUCGACAAGUUCCCAUUAUUCUAUGCAAU